Molecule: transfer RNA, 84 nt
Filed under: Candidatus Roizmanbacteria bacterium
Lineage: Bacteria; Candidatus Roizmaniibacteriota
Description: tRNA-Leu
Rfam family: tRNA
About the family: Transfer RNA (tRNA) molecules are approximately 80 nucleotides in length. Their secondary structure includes four short double-helical elements and three loops (D, anti-codon, and T loops).
Source: RNAcentral
GUCGGAGUGGCGGAAUUGGCAGACGCGCAGGCUUGAGGGGCCUGUGGCCGCAAGGCUGUGGAGGUUCAAGUCCUCUCUCCGACA